UACGUAGGGUGCAAGCGUUAAUCGGAAUUACUGGGCGUAAAGCGUGCGCAGGCGGUUGUGCAAGACAGAUGUGAAAUCCUCGGGCUCAACCUGGGAAUUGCAUUUGUGACUGCACGGCUAGAGUGUGUCAGAGGGGGGUAGAAUUCCACGUGUAGCAGUGAAAUGCGUAGAGAUGUGGAGGAAUACCGAUGGCGAAGGCAGCCCCCUGGGAUAACACUGACGCUCAUGCACGAAAGCGUGGGGAGCAAACAGG
This 253-nucleotide ribosomal RNA is filed under the name uncultured bacterium. RNAcentral's name for it is "partial 16S ribosomal RNA". It matches the Rfam family "Bacterial small subunit ribosomal RNA", at positions 524 to 776 of the family's 1533-position model. The record is from RNAcentral.